Molecule: long non-coding RNA, 593 nt
Filed under: Anas platyrhynchos platyrhynchos (common mallard)
Lineage: Eukaryota; Metazoa; Chordata; Aves; Anseriformes; Anatidae
Description: lncRNA (ENSAPLG00000020097.1)
Source: RNAcentral
UUUAGUUGGUAAUGUCACAACAGGACCAGAUGAUCUCAACUUCUGAGCCCUGGAAUGAUCUCAGCUGACAGAGUUAUACUACAAAAUCAUCUGGGCUUUCUGGUCAGUUUUGAAAAUUAAACCAUGAAUUUUCACGUAUUGGAGGGAGCUUGGAGCAUAGCAUGAUGUUGGUAUUUAUGAUUUGGCAAAUGCAUCAGAAUUUCAGGCUGCCUAGUGCAUAGUUAAAAGUACCAAGAAAAAAGGUUUAAUCCUAGGGAUUUUAAUCUGAUGUAUAAAUUAAAAUGGCAAUUAAAUUGAGAUAACACUAAUUGAGAUUACCUGUUCUGGCCAAUGCUCCUGGUAGCAGAAGGAGGAGACAGUUUAAUGAGUCAGAUAUGCAGCUGGUGCUACAGAAGUGUUAUAUGCGGUCUGGUGUUACCUGUAACCUGGAGCUGUGGUGGAUCUGUUUUCCUCCAAACUAUUCUGCUCCAGGAAGGGACAUACGUAUAUGGAAGAGGAACAAAACCACCAUAACAAGGAGGCAAAAUCAAGGUAGCACAGGAGAAAUUAAGUGGCAAAGUAAGAGGCAGCCUUACCUUUAUAGGAAGGUCUAA